Molecule: long non-coding RNA, 340 nt
Filed under: Centruroides sculpturatus (bark scorpion)
Lineage: Eukaryota; Metazoa; Arthropoda; Arachnida; Scorpiones; Buthidae
Description: uncharacterized LOC111616006
Source: RNAcentral
UCAGCUUUUCCUUGACUCUUGUGGAUACUCUAGAUACUUUAGUGUUAUUAGGAGAUUUGGAUGAAUUUGAACAUGCUGUCAGACUUAUUAUAAAGGAUAUAACAUUUGACAAUGAUGUAGUAGUUUCUGUAUUUGAAACAAAUAUAAGAAUGCUUGGGGGAUUAUUGAGUGGACAUAUAUUGGCAACUUAUUUACAAGAAGAAUUUAAUCGAAUGCAGUGGUAUCAUGGUGAAUUAUUAGUUAUUGCAGAAGAAUUAGGACAGAGAUUACUUCCAGCAUUUAAUACGUCAACUGGUAUACCUCAUCCAAGAGUAAUUAUUCAUUUUUGUUAAUUUCUUAC